Molecule: long non-coding RNA, 2077 nt
Organism: Olea europaea var. sylvestris
Lineage: Eukaryota; Viridiplantae; Streptophyta; Magnoliopsida; Lamiales; Oleaceae
Exons: 4
Source: RefSeq, a predicted model, not a curated record
UAUGGGCAUAUGAGACUGUCCUCUUCUUGGGUACCCGAUUUGCGAAGAGAGUGGAGACACGCUACUCUCGACUGCAUCAUUGGCGAGUAUCUCGAGUAGAAGAUUGUCUAUUUGCUAGACAAUUAUCAGCUCUCUUUGACGACCUCAGGAGCGCGGUCUAAUUGAUCGAAAAUCAUUUUUGCCCCAGAUAUCAUCACCUCUGCCAAUGAGAUCUCCUUCUUUAUCAUUUAGACACCUCCCCCAUGGAUCUCCUGCACACAGUCAGGGUUGUUAUUUCGAUAAUCUAUAUGUACGUCUAACUGAUUUUAUUAGAGAGGAGAUGUGCACGCAGCACGCUACAAAGUGAGUUGGAGAGGAAGUAGGGGCUCUUUGACAAUAGUAAGAGGCGAGGUAGAAGAUUUAUGCCAUGAUGUUGGAGUGCUACGAGGCCAUUUAGUAGACAUUCAAGAAGAGAUUGCUGCGCUAUAAGACGAUAUAGUAGGCAGACGAGAGGGAGACAGAUUGCAUGAUAGAGAAGGUGACAGAGAGUGUAAUAUAGAGGAUGGUAGAGAAAGGGGUCACACUUAGGAUCAUUUUAUUAUCCGUGACACGGGAUAGGGUCUCCUUGAUGGUGACGUAAGAGGUGGCAGAGGAUGAGAGAAUAGAGGGUUGGCCCUGAUGGCAGAUAAAGAGAGGAUGAUUGUCAUGACAAAGGAUUAAAAGCAUGCUAUUGAUGUGCCAGAGUAGGUGGCCUACAAGAGGUCAAGAUUACAGUCAUAGUACGCCACUUCUCCCUUUAUGGCUGAGGCGAAGAGGAGGACGUUCAUAGACGGGACAUUCCCCAAUCUUUUUUUAGAGGUAAACCCUGCCAAGUGGAAAGCUUUUGAAAUAGAGUGGAGAAGAAUUAUGCCUAGUUAACUACACGAUAGCUCAAAAGACGAUACCGGAUGCUUAUAAGUGAUUUUAGGAUAUCACGACUUCGACAGCUUAGCUCGUCAAGAUCACAUCAACCUGACUUUGGACCUAUUGUGCAAUCAGGCUCGAAGAUAUCUAAGAUCAUUUGACGUUCCAGGCCGAGUCAUUUUGAGCAUCGAGUCCCUACAUGCCAUUAACAUUGUGCAUCAAUCGCUUCAACUUAUGGGGAAUGAGUACAGGUUGCCUAAAUAUAUGCUCGGGUGGAUCACAAGGAUGAGAUCGAGUAUCGGGAAAAAAUCAUGGGGCAAGUCGAAUGCAUAUGUACAUUCUAGUGAUCACUAAUUAUCACUGCUUUGCUGUGGAGAUUGUCUUUCUUGAUUCCACUAUAUACGUGUACGACUCUGAUCAUACCUGUUGGACACAGGGUCAGGUCGAGCAUAUAUUAGAGCCAGUGCCUAUAAUCGUUCAUUUGAUAGACAAUUACCACAUAAUAAGCAAGCAAGGCCAAAUGUUUUAAUGUAGGGAGUUCGUCUUCACCAGACCCAAACUUCUCCUCUCGCUUUUGAUUGGGUUAAAAGUGUUUGUGGCGUCAAUUCCUUUUGGUGUACAUCUUACCCAAAAUACCAAGAAACAUAAGUUGUCAGCUCAUAUCUAUCUAUCUCCGCUCCUCAAUCAAACAAAAGUAACCGUUUGAUCCUAUAUAGCCUGGACCUACAUACUCAUCGUGGUCGUCCUACAGCCUCCCACACCCAUAUUCCUAACCUCUCCUCCUAUUUUAUUUGCUUACCAUGCGGUCUCUGUGUCGAUUGAGCCCAGUAUAGUAUUAGUUUUUUAGAUCUUAGAAAUGAAAUCAUAUCUGCCCGGAAGUGAUUUGUGUGACAAACUAGUUAUCGUGUGGGACAUGACGAUGAUGAGACGAUAGAAAUCGUAAGUAUUUAUAAAUUUUUUAAUUUGAAAACUUAGUUUUUAGUUAUUGAACUAACACGUUGUUUUUAAUUGAAUUGGCGAUUGCUGUUGUUCGUAAUUAGGUAUAUUGAACUUUUGAGUAUAAUACAUAAGGAUGAUAGAAUCAACCAAUCCUGAAAUUAGAGGAAGAACUUAGCAUGCAAUUUGUAUGAAAUCAAUAAUGGUACGUAAAUAUUAUAUAUUGUUCCAUUCGAAAAUGUAAAUAUUGAUUAUUUAA